CAGUCGCCGCGGUAAUACGUAGGUCCCGAGCGCUGUCCGGAUUUAUUGGGCGUAAGGGAGCGCAGGCGGUUUAGUAAGUCUGAAGUUAAAGGCAUUGGCUCAACCAAUGUAUGCUUUGGAAACUGUUAAACUUGAGUGCAGGAGAGAAAAGUGGAAUUCCUAGUGUAGCGGUGAAAUGCGUAGAGAUUAGGAGGAACACCAGUGGCGAAGGCGGCUUUUUGGCCUGUAACUGACACUGAGGCGCGAAAGCGUGGGGAGCAAACAGGAUUAGAUACCCGAGUAGUCCCUGUCUCUUAUACAC
Molecule: ribosomal RNA, 301 nt
Filed under: uncultured bacterium
Lineage: Bacteria
Description: partial 16S ribosomal RNA
Rfam family: Bacterial small subunit ribosomal RNA
Source: RNAcentral